Molecule: ribosomal RNA, 434 nt
Filed under: uncultured Clostridiales Family XIV bacterium
Lineage: Bacteria; Bacillati; Bacillota; Clostridia; Eubacteriales; Clostridiales Family XIV. Incertae Sedis
Description: bacterial SSU rRNA
Rfam family: Bacterial small subunit ribosomal RNA
Source: RNAcentral
ACGGGAGGCAGCAGUGGGGAAUAUUGGACAAUGGAGGCAACUCUGAUCCAGCGACGCCGCGUGAGUGAAGAAGUAUUUCGGUAUGUAAAGCUCUAUCAGCAGGGAAGAUAAUGACGGUACCUGACUAAGAAGCCCCGGCUAACUACGUGCCAGCAGCCGCGGUAAUACGUAGGGGGCAAGCGUUAUCCGGAUUUACUGGGUGUAAAGGGAGCGUAGGCGGCCAGACAAGUCAGAUGUGAAAGCCCGGGGCUCAACUCCGGUACUGCAUUUGAAACUGCCAGGCUUGAGUGCAGGAGAGGCAAGCGGAAUUCCUAGUGUAGCGGUGAAAUGCGUAGAUAUUAGGAAGAACACCGGUGGCGAAGGCGACUUGCUGGACUGUAACUGACACUGAAGUACGAAAGCGUGGGGAGCAAACAGGAUUAGAUACCCUGGUA